UACAGAGGGGGCAAGCGCUGUUCGGAAUUACUGGGCGUAAAGGGCGCGUAGGCGGCCUGCUAAGUCGAACGUGAAAUCCCUGGGCUCAACCCAGGAACUGCGUCCGAUACUGGUUGGCUUGAAUCCGGGAGAGGGAUGCGGAAUUCCAGGUGUAGCGGUGAAAUGCGUAGAUAUCUGGAGGAACACCGGUGGCGAAGGCGGCAUCCUGGACCGGCAUUGACGCUGAGGCGCGAAAGCCAGGGGAGCAAACGGG
This 253-nucleotide ribosomal RNA is filed under the name uncultured bacterium. RNAcentral describes it as "partial 16S ribosomal RNA". It matches the Rfam family "Bacterial small subunit ribosomal RNA", at positions 524 to 776 of the family's 1533-position model. The record is from RNAcentral.